AACCUGCCUUUGAGAAGGGGAUAACUGUCCGAAAGGAUAGCUAAUACCCUAUAUUGCCUUUUGUCACUAAGGCAAAAGAUGAAAGCGAGGCUGUCAAAGGCUUCGGCUCAAAGAGGGGUUCGCGUCCUAUCAGGUAGUUGGUGGGGUAAUGGCCUACCAAGCCAAUGACGGGUAGCUGGUCUUAGAGGAUGAUCAGCCACAGUGGGACUGAGACACGGCCCGCACCCCUACGGGGGGCAGCAGUGGGGAAUCGUGGGCAAUGGGCGCAAGCCUGACCCCGCAAUGCCGCGUGAGGGAAGAAGCCCUUCGGGGUGUAAACCUCUGUCAGAUGGGAAGAUGGGACUAGGGGCUAAUACCUCCUGGUCUUGACGGUACCAUCAGAGGAAGGGACGGCUA
This 396-nucleotide ribosomal RNA is filed under the name uncultured bacterium. RNAcentral's name for it is "bacterial SSU rRNA". It matches the Rfam family "Bacterial small subunit ribosomal RNA", at positions 123 to 499 of the family's 1533-position model. The record is from RNAcentral.